CCUAUCCGUCGCGGGCGUUGGAAAUUUGAGAGGAGCUGUCCUUAGUACGAGAGGACCGGGAUGGACUUACCGCUGGUGUACCAGUUGUUCUGCCAAGGGCAUUGCUGGGUAGCUAUGUAGGGAAGGGAUAAACGCUGAAAGCAUCUAAGUGUGAAGCCCACCUCAAGAUGAGAUUUCCCAUUUCUUUAAGAAAGUAAGAUCCCUGAGAGAUGAUCAGGUAGAUAGGUCAGGAGUGGAAGUACAGUGAUGUAUGGAGCGGACUGAUACUAAUCGAUCGAGGACUUAACCAAU
This 291-nucleotide ribosomal RNA is filed under the name Enterococcus faecium. Its description in RNAcentral is "partial 23S ribosomal RNA". It matches the Rfam family "Bacterial large subunit ribosomal RNA", at positions 2637 to 2925 of the family's 2925-position model. The record is from RNAcentral. Lineage: Bacteria; Bacillati; Bacillota; Bacilli; Lactobacillales; Enterococcaceae.